Molecule: long non-coding RNA, 822 nt
Organism: Cataglyphis hispanica
Lineage: Eukaryota; Metazoa; Arthropoda; Insecta; Hymenoptera; Formicidae
Exons: 3
Source: RefSeq, a predicted model, not a curated record
UACAGCAUCGACGGAUCCGAAAUUCGGAUAUUUCGGAUGCUCCUAUACCGUUUCUUGAUUUAGAUUUAAAGCGUUACUACUUAAGCACGCAUUAUUAGUGAUUACAGUAUUGUCAAUAUAAAUACACAUUUAUUAUUAGAAAAGAGCUUUUUUAUGAUUUUAUAUUAAUUAUGAUAGUACCAAAGAUAGAAAUAUAUGAUGUCGAGAGACGGAGAGUAAAAGGAAGAGGAGAGAUGGCUAGGAAGUAGAGACGCGCGGGGCAAAAGCAUUCCAGCGAUUCAGGGAUGUAGACAGGAAGGAUGUUCGUCGAGUGCCAUCAACUUAGCUUAUGUCAUGGCAGAGCGAGUACGCUGCCGGAGCUCCUUGGACGAAGAGAGCCGAGCCGGCAUAAUAAGCUUUGUGCACCGACUACCGGGAGAGAUUCCUCUCACUGGAAGGAUUGAAGAGAUAGCAGAAGCAUCAGCGUCGGCAGCGGUAGCGACAACGUCGAGGAGCGGGGACAGAGGCGAUCGGGGGAGAUUCUCGAUGGCACGAUCGAAACUUCCGGCUCGACUCAUCAGCACGCGUCAUCCCAUAUUACGGAUAACUACUCUUUCCGCUCGUUGCGGAUCUCCAUUGUGAAAGGGACCCUUCGCCCAGCGAGGCGCGUAAAAGAGGAGGGAGGCGCUGUCUCUCCCUUAGCGGGGAUUCUGGCGUAAGGCCGAUCCUCCUCUUCUUCCAUUCAACGUCCUGCAGCAGGAUGCGCCCAUUAUUCCCUUCCGCGGUAGACCGAUACGUUGGAACGUAUCAACGUGGACAAGAAGAAUAUAAUAAUCCUGAAGA